AUGGCUGCGGCCCCCGGAGGAGGGGACGUGAAGUGAGGAGGGGGUUGGGAGGGGAGAGGACGCGGGCGAGGAAGACCAGCCCCGGGGCCCCGAAGCGUUUUCAGGCUCCUCGGAAGCUCACCAUCCAUGCCAUCGGAUAAAGUGACUCCUGUGGAAUGCCCUCGUUCCUGUGCCGCACACCCCUGGAGCCCAGGUCUCCUGGUUCCUAGCAUGCCACGAUGCGGCCCCUGCCCGCUGCCCAGCGCCAGAUGCAAGCAAAGCCCCGCUCUUUCAUUGGUGUGUCACCGCGGGCUAAACUUUGGCGUUGCCUUGGUCACGUGCUGCUACAUCCCACCCUCUCUCCUGAGUUUUUCGGUGGCUCUUGAGGGAAAAAAGGAGGGAGCUCGUUAUGGAAUCUGUUUUCCUUCUGUUAUGUGGGUGUAUGCAUUGGAGAGAAGGAUCUUUUUCUCAUGAUUUAUCCAAGAUGCUCAGCUUUAGUGACAUA
Molecule: small RNA, 484 nt
Filed under: Pan troglodytes (chimpanzee)
Lineage: Eukaryota; Metazoa; Chordata; Mammalia; Primates; Hominidae
Description: retained intron
Source: RNAcentral